Molecule: long non-coding RNA, 664 nt
Filed under: Mus musculus (house mouse)
Lineage: Eukaryota; Metazoa; Chordata; Mammalia; Rodentia; Muridae
Description: long non-coding RNA chrX:128287235-128287899
Source: RNAcentral
AUGGGCAUCUCUAGGGACAACUGGCACAUGCACUGCAAUAUCAGGGGUAAGAGAAAACCAUUCCACAAGAAGUGGAAGUAUGAGCUCUAAUGGCCUGCUGCCAACACUAAAAUUGGCCUUCAUAGUAUACACACAGUAUGAGUUUGAGGAGGCAAUAAAAAGUACUAUGUCCUGAGAUUGGGUGUAGGAAACUUUUCCUGGUGCUCUGAGUGUUGUACUCGGAAAACAAGGAUCAUUGAUGUUGUCUAUAAUCCAUCCAGUACUUAGCUUGUCUGCAUCAAGACCCUGGUGAAGAAAUGCAUUGUGCUUAUUGACAGUACACUGUACCAGCAGUGAUAUGAGUCCCACUAUGCAAUGCCCCUGGGCUGCAAAAAGGGGGCCAAGUGAACUCUUGAGGAGGAAGAGCCUUUAAACAAAAAACCAUCAAAGAAGAUUUUAAAAAAUUCGAUGAAAGGAAAAAGAAUGCCAACAUCAGCACUCUUCUGCAGGAGUAGUUCCAGCAGGGCAAGCUUCUUGCCUAUAUUGCUUCAAACCAGGCCAGUGUGGCAGAGCAGACACUUAUGUGCUUGAAGGCAAGGAGCUGGAGUUCUAUCUUUGGAAGACAAAACCCGGGAAAGGCAAAUAAGCCAUCCUUCAUAGCUCAUGUAAUAAGGGUGUUUGUUGU